UCCCUGGUUGAUCCUGCCA
This 19-nucleotide unclassified non-coding RNA is filed under the name Hypogastrura dolsana. The record is from RNAcentral. Lineage: Eukaryota; Metazoa; Arthropoda; Collembola; Poduromorpha; Hypogastruridae.